GUCCUCACUUCAACAACACAUAAAUUAAAAUUGAAAUGAUACAGAGAAGAUUAGCAUGGCCCCUGCACAAGGAUGACAUGCGAAUUUGUGAAGUGUUUCAUAUUUUU
Saimiri boliviensis boliviensis (Bolivian squirrel monkey) is the source of this 107-nucleotide small nuclear RNA. The record is from Ensembl. Lineage: Eukaryota; Metazoa; Chordata; Mammalia; Primates; Cebidae.